CUGGUCUUUAUUUUCUCUCUGCUCGACAGAAAACUCUCCUCCAUUUUUUGGUUCCUUAAGGUGGCGGUUUGAAGGGGUUCUUUGCCGGUUUUCUCUCUCUCUCUCUCUUGGAAGGUGAUUUGCAAGUCGUGGAGGGCUGUUCCUGAGCCUGUAAAAUCAGCCAUAAGGAGGAGAAGAAGCUGCUGAAAGGAGGAAGCAGAAGCUGUCCAGAUUCGGCCAUAUGGGUUGUGUUAUUUCUGGUUUCGUAUUUUCUUGGUUUUGCCUUAGAA
This 269-nucleotide long non-coding RNA is filed under the name Olea europaea subsp. europaea. Lineage: Eukaryota; Viridiplantae; Streptophyta; Magnoliopsida; Lamiales; Oleaceae. The record is from RNAcentral.